UUACGUGUGCAUGAACUCAACAAAUGCCGUUGAUGCGUCUGUAUCGAUUCGCUCGAUCGAGUCAUUUAUGUUUCGUCCCGAAGAAGAUCCGAAUCGUUUGUGAAUCUCAUCACUGUUAGAAAUCCAAGAGAAGAGAUCCUCUUCCCUUAACAUCAUCAGAGGAAAAACCUGCUUCUUAAUCAAUUAGUUUCAGUUUGUACCUCUCUCUCUGGAUCCAUGUCAUCCUACAGUCUCUUCUCGAGCAAGGCGUGGUGAGACACUUUACACAAAAUUUAUGUAAGAUUAAUGAAUUGAUUGUUUCUUCUGUAAUGUCACAGGUUCCUGCUCAUCAUUGCUGUUUUUCCAUUAAUGAAAAUUAAUGAUCUCUGUUCUGCCUUUUUUUUUCACACACAUGAGGAGAUAGCGUUUGGACUCAGGGUUUCAUUUGACUCUCCUGCUGUUUUUUUUUUUUUCAGCUGUAAUUCAUAACGUGCUCUGUGACCUUCUCCCUCCCUCAGGACUCUGUGGUCUGUGUGUUCUGGUGUCUGCUGAGUCACCAGAAAUCUGCCAAGACACUGACACUUGCGCCUGCUCCAACAUCUGGUGCAUAAGGGCUUUAAGGUUUCCAGAACCAAGCUGCAAUAUUGCAUGGACACUUAAGUAUUUGAACUUUUGAAGUUUUGAACUUUCUCAAGGCUGUCAUUCUAGACACAAAACCUCCUCCACUGCAACAUCCUUUGACCUGGACUGACGCUAUGGUGGUCGCUUAUCACUCCCUCAGAAGCACCCUUUGUUCCGCCCCUGGGUCACCUGCUCACUUCAAGCCCUUCCACCUCUAUGCCUGUGGACACCGGGGCACGGCCUCUGGGGAGCGUGAGGGGGGGAAAUGCAUCAUUGUGCGUUUUUAUCCAAAACAUUAGACAUUGUUGCUCAAGGCUUACCUGUGUGUCUGGGGGCUGUCUCCGCAUGUGCUUUGAUGGUUUUAGAUGCGGAAAAAUUGUUUUUUGUCUCACCCAUUGAUCUUGCACUCGUCACAUCAAGUUAAACAGGUGUUGCAAAAUUGACAGACCCAUUAAAUUAAUUUAUCAGUAAUAGGGGUCUCUAGGGAUCUUUGUUGAUGGUUCUUGUUCUAAACCCUCAGAUGGUUCUUGUUUUAUAAUUUAUAAUAUUAUCACACCUCUGUGGUUAUUCUGUGUGUUCAAUCAAUAUCAGCCUGAUAUUCUGCAUGAGACAUACGCUUUUUUUUCUUUUUCAUUUGAUUUUUGUCAUCUUGAUUGUGGACAAAUUCUCUAAAUGGGUAGAAGUUUUUCCCUGUUCUCGAGAGAACACGAAGGUAGUUUCUCGUUUUGAUACCUACGGUAGUUAUAAUAAUAAUAAUGAUACAUUUUAUUUAUAAAUGCCUUUCAAGGUACCUAAGAACACUGGACAGUCCUCAUCACGGGUUUCGUGGCUUCAUUGUUGCUCGGGGCAGGGCUACCCGCCCGAGCCUUCGUGACUGCUUCAUCUUUGCUCGGGGCAGGGUUACCCGCCCGAGCCUUCUGGACCACUUCAUUGCUCGGAGCAGGGUUACCCGCUCGAGCUGGACUUCAUUGCUCGGGGCAGGGUUACCCGCUCGAGCUGGACUUCGAGACAACAUCUUCUGGACUAACUUCGCUAACUGGACUGCACAAGCGCACACCACACGAAUGUGUUAUGUCUUUCAUCUGAUGCCGUUUUCUACUAUUAUUACACAUCUCUAUGCUCUGAAACUCUGUAUUCUUACAGGACUCUGUUCUCACUAUAGGUCGAUAUGCCUUCUAAUUUCAUUUUUCCCCUCACUGUUUUAGAACAAAUUACUCUGAAGGAAGUAGCGUGUAUCUGGGAAUUAAGAGGUUUUGAGUUUCUCUAAGCUCCGGUGAGGUGGGACGAGGGCUGAUUGGGCAUGCCCGCCCUCUGAGCACCAAUAUAUGUCAAGAAGGGCAAAGAUUAACUCAGGAUUAAUUUUUGAUGUAAUCAUAUAUGAUCAUGAGGUGAUAAUAGGAUUUGAUAAUAGUGAUGCUAUUAUCAAAGGGGGGGAUUGUUAGGGUUAUAUAAGUAUUAUUCUUAUUAUUCUUAUAAGUAUUAUUAUUAAAAUGGUGACAAAAUUAAGAGUUAACUUAAGGUUCAGUUAAAAAUGACCUUCUGUCUCGGCUGGACAUUGUUUGGGAACAUUUUGUUUAUGAAAUGUGUAUUUUGAACAGAGAAGUGUCUGAAGGACCCACCAAGGUCUGUUUUAGUGUCAGAUCGACCCACACACACUUUAAUGUUGGAUGUAAUGGUAGCCUUAUUGCUGAACAAAGAGUUAAGACUCUUAUAUUAUAUAUUAUAGUAUAUAUUAUAGUAUAUAUUAUUUAUAGUAUAUUUUAGAGCUUUUUAAGAUCCUUUAUUAUUUUGGACUAUUGCAUACACUAUGGCAGUGAUUUUAAACUGUUCCUGUGUAGCCUGACCUUCGUCCAGUGGAGAAGAACACUUCUUUGUUAGACCAAACAUAGUCUUUGUUUAAAACAUUGUCGUAAAAACAUCUCACGCGCUUUGACGUACGUAAAUGAAAUUGCUGAAUUGCUGAAAUAUUAUUUUGCUUAUGAUUGAAGGUUUCAUUCACACACACAUACAUAUGGAAUUAAGAUGUGAUUUGCUGACCUAGCACAUAGACACAGAUAUCAAAAUGAUGUCACUCACUCACACCCUCCCAUAGACACACACACACACCCCUCUCUGAGGUCACAUACAAACACACACACAUUUGACCGACACAAGAGCCGUUUGGAGAGAUUAUGAUUUGUUAUAAAAGGUGUUUGUAAUCUUUCAUCUUUGACGAAGUGACUGUGCGAAUAAACUGGCAUGUGAACAA
This is a long non-coding RNA of Neoarius graeffei (lesser salmon catfish), 2848 nucleotides long. RefSeq lists it as uncharacterized. Lineage: Eukaryota; Metazoa; Chordata; Actinopteri; Siluriformes; Ariidae. The record is from RefSeq and is a predicted model, not a curated record. The transcript has 2 exons.